AUUGAACGCUGGCGGCAUGCUUUACACAUGCAAGUCGAACGGCAGCACGAAAGAGCUUGCUCUUUUGGUGGCGAGUGGCGAACGGGUGAGUAAUGCAUCGGAACGUACCGAGUAAUGGGGGAUAACUAUCCGAAAGGAUAGCUAAUACCGCGUACGCUUUGAGAAGGAAAGUGGGGGCUCUUCGGACCUCACGUUAUUCGAGCGGCCGAUGUCUGAUUAGCUAGUUGGUGGGGUAAAGGCCUACCAAGGCGACGAUCAGUAGCGGGUCUGAGAGGAUGAUCCGCCACACUGGGACUGAGACACGGCCCAGACUCCUACGGGAGGCAGCAGUGGGGAAUUUUGGACAAUGGGCGCAAGCCUGAUCCAGCCAUGCCGCGUGUCUGAAGAAGGCCUUCGGGUUGUAAAGGACUUUUGUUAGGGAAGAAAAGGAUAGUGUUAAUACCAUUAUCUGC
RNAcentral lists this ribosomal RNA (452 nucleotides) under Kingella oralis. Its description in RNAcentral is "bacterial SSU rRNA". It matches the Rfam family "Bacterial small subunit ribosomal RNA", at positions 30 to 476 of the family's 1533-position model. Lineage: Bacteria; Pseudomonadati; Pseudomonadota; Betaproteobacteria; Neisseriales; Neisseriaceae. The record is from RNAcentral.